CGUCUAUAUACGUAUAGCAUAUCAAUAAGCGGAGGAAAAGAAACUAACUAGGAUUCCCCUAGUAACGGCGAGUGAAGCGGGAAGAGCUCAAAUUUGAAAUCUUCAAGGUUCUACCUUGACGAAUUGUAGUUUAAAGAAGUGUUUUCUGUUGGAAUUUUGGUAAAAGUUCUUUGGAAAUAGGACAUCAAUAGAGGGUGAGAAUCCCGUAUUUGACCAUUAUUUCCAGCUUUGUGAUACACUUUCAAAGAGUCGGAUUGUUUGGGAAUGCAGUCCAAAAUGGGUGGUAAAUUUCAUCUAAAGCUAUAUACUGGCGAGAGACCGAUAGCGAACAAGUACCGUGAGGGAAAGAUGAAAAGAACUUUGAAAAGAGAGUUAAACAGUACGUGAAAUUGUCAAAAGGGAAGCGUUUGACACCAGUGUUGUUUUCUCGAAAAUCAAUUAAAAAAUGCUGGAUUUUGUGUUGUAUUGACUUUAUCAGCUUUCUGCACUCUUUUUCCUGUCUUUUUUAAUGCACUUUUCGUUUAACAAGUCAACAUCAAUUUCUUUUGUUGUAAAAGGGUCAUUGGAAGGUGGCUUUCUUUUCGGAGAAAGUGUUUAUAGCCUUUGACUUCUGCAAUCGGAGAGAUUGAGGUCUGCAGCGUAGAUCCUUCGGGGUUAGAUACAUUUGUGCUAAGUUAUAGCCUUUCAUAGACAACUUGUUGACUAUGAUCAGUCAUGUAGCUUACUCGCUUAUGUCUAUUUUACCUACGCUUAGGAUGUUGACGAUCAGCUGAGCGCG
This 778-nucleotide ribosomal RNA is filed under the name uncultured Neocallimastigales. RNAcentral's name for it is "partial large subunit ribosomal RNA". It matches the Rfam family "Eukaryotic large subunit ribosomal RNA", at positions 26 to 628 of the family's 3401-position model. The record is from RNAcentral. Lineage: Eukaryota; Fungi; Neocallimastigomycota; Neocallimastigomycetes; Neocallimastigales.